GCAGAGUUGGAGCGGAGAUCCUCUCAGGCCACAUCUCCAGGGCGCUAAACACCUUCUGACUGGUUCUUUUGAAGAUGCAGUGGAAGUUUUGAGAAUUUAUAUGUGACAAACGAGGUUACCUAUUAAAACAUUAUAGCUAAUUACCAUCAGGGCUAAGCUAGCUUCAGAAGCCAUGCCUGUUUUUUGUUCUCAAGAUGCACAGUGUGAAUCUUUGAACAGAUUCUUGUUCUGAUUGUCCAGUCAGUGGAGUAAGUGCUCUUAACAUUUACCAGUGUUCUGCGCUUAUAGUGUACUGUAUGUUAAAACUGCAUGUUGUUGCUCUAUUGAUAUUAUCAACUCAAAAGUUGUCACCAGUGCAUGCAGGAGUGUGUGCUUGUGCUCUUUUCCCUUUAUAUUUAUCCAGCUUAAUGCUUUAUGGUUGAAUACUGUAUUUUCCUCUAAACACUGUAUUGUUAACAUUGUAAACUUGAGUAUAUUGCAGUGUUAUCUGUUUUUUGUCAACAAUAAAAAAAUGAAAUUGU
Tachysurus fulvidraco (yellow catfish) is the source of this 521-nucleotide long non-coding RNA. RefSeq lists it as uncharacterized. The transcript is spliced from 2 exons. The record is from RefSeq and is a predicted model, not a curated record. NCBI's taxonomy places the organism in Eukaryota, Metazoa, Chordata, Actinopteri, Siluriformes, Bagridae.